CAAAGAGGGGGACCUUCGGGCCUCUUGCCAUCGGAUGUGCCCAGAUGGGAUUAGCUAGUAGGUGGGGUAACGGCUCACCUAGGCGACGAUCCCUAGCUGGUCUGAGAGGAUGACCAGCCACACUGGAACUGAGACACGGUCCAGACUCCUACGGGAGGCAGCAGUGGGGAAUAUUGCACAAUGGGCGCAAGCCUGAUGCAGCCAUGCCGCGUGUAUGAAGAAGGCCUUCGGGUUGUAAAGUACUUUCAGCGGGGAGGAAGGGAGUAAAGUUAAUACCUUUGCUCAUUGACGUUACCCGCAGAAGAAGCACCGGCUAACUCCGUGCCAGCAGCCGCGGUAAUACGGAGGGUGCAAGCGUUAAUCGGAAUUACUGGGCGUAAAGCGCACGCAGGCGGUUUGUUAAGUCAGAUGUGAAAUCCCCGGGCUCAACCUGGGAACUGCAUCUGAUACUGGCAAGCUUGAGUCUCGUAGAGGGGGGUAGAAUUCCAGGUGUAGCGGUGAAAUGCGUAGAGAUCUGGAGGAAUACCGGUGGCGAAGGCGGCCCCCUGG
Molecule: ribosomal RNA, 549 nt
Filed under: Shigella sonnei
Lineage: Bacteria; Pseudomonadati; Pseudomonadota; Gammaproteobacteria; Enterobacterales; Enterobacteriaceae
Description: bacterial SSU rRNA
Rfam family: Bacterial small subunit ribosomal RNA
Source: RNAcentral